RNAcentral lists this ribosomal RNA (497 nucleotides) under uncultured bacterium. RNAcentral describes it as "partial 16S ribosomal RNA". It matches the Rfam family "Bacterial small subunit ribosomal RNA", at positions 28 to 507 of the family's 1533-position model. The record is from RNAcentral.
GGUGAACGCUGGCGGCGUGCCUAAUACAUGCAAGUCGAGCGAACGGACGAGAAGCUUGCUUCUCUGAUGUUAGCGGCGGACGGGUGAGUAACACGUGGAUAACCUACCUAUAAGACUGGGAUAACUUCGGGAAACCGGAGCUAAUACCGGAUAAUAUUUUGAACCGCAUGGUUCAAAAGUGAAAGACGGUCUUGCUGUCACUUAUAGAUGGAUCCGCGCUGCAUUAGCUAGUUGGUAAGGUAACGGCUUACCAAGGCAACGAUGCAUAGCCGACCUGAGAGGGUGAUCGGCCACACUGGAACUGAGACACGGUCCAGACUCCUACGGGAGGCAGCAGUAGGGAAUCUUCCGCAAUGGGCGAAAGCCUGACGGAGCAACGCCGCGUGAGUGAUGAAGGUCUUCGGAUCGUAAAACUCUGUUAUUAGGGAAGAACAUAUGUGUAAGUAACUGUGCACAUCCUGACGGUACCUAAUCAGAAAGCCACGGCUAACUACGUG